CUCCUGCAUGUGACGGACACAGCACUGAUCCUGGCAGCUCCUUACCCCCAGCAGCCCGAAACUCACUCCUUAAUUACACAAGGGAAACCUUUUACCUCCGCAGCCAGAGUCUGGGGGGAAAGGCAGGCGUGGGAAGAUGGGUUCUCUACCUGGCCAGUGCCAUGUUGCCUGUUUCUUUACUGUAACUGUGGUGACAAAGAAAAGGGAAGAUGGAGCCUCCAUGUUGAACAUACCUGGCCCCCAGCACUAACUCCCUCUCUGGAUAUCUGGAACAAGGAGGACCUUAAACUUAACAAUAAAGCCAAUGAUGGUUCUACCAGUCUCCCCAAAGCCUCAAGUUUAAAAGCCAUAUGAACUGGCUGAUAGUGGAAAAUGGAAGCCAUGAGGAAAUCAGAUUAGAGUACUACCUGGUGAAGCCUGGAGGACCUACCAAGAAAAGCAAACUUGGAUCUUUGCAAGGUUAGAAGAACGAAUGGGAUCCAAGAAAAAGACUGGUCAUAUUCAACGGCUAAGAGCGUUGGAGAAGGCCUGUGGAGUCUCAGCAGGUCAGGUCCAUGACUCAUGAGUAGACACCUGUGUUUCUACUGCCUGGUGCCAUAAUCAUAAACAAGGAAGAAACUGAGGACAGGAGGGGCCAAACAAGUUACAGUUUCAUCCCUCCAGAGAGCCAACAGAGUAUUUUGCACGAAGUUGAAGCUAAACAGGUAUUAUGUCCUAUCUCUGGACUGAAUGACUAGAUGCUACUCAGCUUCUGAACUAGAGGAAGCCUGGGACCUUGACCGCACUAAUGCUGAUGACAGCGGAUUUGCAAGUGGCUAGAGGUACCAGAUUUAGCAAAUCAAAAUAUAGGACGUCAAGUUAAAUUUAAGUGUAAGAUAAGCUACGAAUACCUUUUCUAGUAUUAGUACGUCCCAUGCAAUAUACUAGAAAUGUUAUUCGUUAUUUAUGUUAAAUUUAAUUUUAUUAGGGCAUCCUAUAUUUUACCUGUCAAUCCAACCCAUGACCUAGGCAGACACUGUAGAAAAACAAAAGGAGAAUUAAGGAGAUAAAUGAAACACAGGGUGAGCUGAAAAGAGGUGCUCUGUGAAUUUGAGGGUCCAGUAGGAGCUGACUUGUAGGUACUUGGUCUGUUUUGAUGCCCACAACAACCUUGGGGAAGGGGCGGAAUAGCAGAGGGGUAAGCUCUCUGCCCCCCACCAGGGUUCUGCAGGACGCCAGGGCUUUUAUCAGCACCCCUAUGUUCACAUCCUGGCUGCACCCUCCUUGGUUGUAUAUACUCUGGAUAAUUCACUUAAUUUAAAUCUUGCUGCUUUUAUAAAAUUGAUAAAAAGUUAAUAGUGACACUGAUCACACUGAUGUCCCUCAAUGAAUUAUCAAUAUGUUUUUUCUUCCCACCUAUAUUCUUUAUUGAACUCUGUUAUUUUUGAUCCUGGUCUAGAGUAAGCAUUAUGACCAUGCAAGAGUGAAAUGAAAUUUUUAAAAAUAAUUUUUUAAUGUUUUCUGAAUGCUGGGUGUUUUCAAUGAUCAUGCAUGACUGGCAGCAAAGAGGAACGAGGAUGGAUUCGAUAAGGUGCAACAAGUCCUGAACACACACAGAGAACUGGCUGUGAAUCCUGUUUCUGCCACUCACCACUUACUUGUUGGUGAAAAUGCUCAGGAUGUUCACUGCAGCCUGCCUCACCCUGGAAAAGAGAUGUGAGGAUAAUGAGAAAGAAGAGUAUGUUCAGUGCGGAGCAUGCAAAUUUGCAUGAAAACUUCCCAGGCAAAGCAGGAAAGAAACCAGACCUCUUUUCUGCACAAUAAUGGGGCCCACUAACUCUGGGGAAAAGAGUAAUCAGCAAAUGCCUUUCCUUUCUCCUGCUGAUGUUUUGCCCGUACUCAGACCCCUUGACUUCUUAGCUUCUACCCAAAGUGAGCUUGUCAUCAAAGUUCUCCAAAAAUCUGCAGUGUUCUCUUGAGCAAAUCUGCCUGCUCAAAUUUUCCUAUACAGUUCAAUACACUGAUUGAGGCCAGGCGCGGUGGCUCACACCUGUAAUCCCAGCACUUCGGGAGGCCAGACGGGUGGAUCACGAGCUUCCAAGACUAUAGCGCUCUGAUGCAUUGAGAUGACAGCAAGCGGCAUUUUUCAGUCCUGUUACCCAUAUGGCUGCUACCACUGCAUCCUGUUAAAUAAUGUCUUCAACCCAAGAAACCUGCUUCCUAGGGAAGUUUCUCUCUCUCUGCAUUUGUUCCCACUAGAGAAUGACCAUCACCAGAUUCCUGAACUGAAAAUGCUGUUGACACUUUGGAAACUCGGGCCUCUAUUAAUAGGGUGACCAACUAUCCUGGUUUACCUUGAGUACAGGAUUUUCAAUGCUAAAACCAGAAAAACCAGGAUGGUUGGUCAUCUGCCUCAGACCUAAUAAAUACCAGUCAAUAAUUCAGCCAUGA
This 2430-nucleotide long non-coding RNA is filed under the name Homo sapiens (human). RNAcentral's name for it is "HSALNT0361163". Lineage: Eukaryota; Metazoa; Chordata; Mammalia; Primates; Hominidae. The record is from RNAcentral.